This 601-nucleotide long non-coding RNA is filed under the name Rattus norvegicus (Norway rat). Its description in RNAcentral is "long non-coding RNA NONRATT022405". The record is from RNAcentral. Lineage: Eukaryota; Metazoa; Chordata; Mammalia; Rodentia; Muridae.
CGCUGUGGCUGUCUGAGUCUCCUCUCCGAAGAACAGGUCGUGGCAGACACCAACAUCAGCGCCAUAGCGACUCAGCUUGAAAUGAUGUCUGCAGGCUCCCAGCUUGGCUCUCCCACUGCUGACCGACAUCCGCAAGACCCGGAGGAGCUGUUGCAGAGGACCGCCGAUUAAAGCGAGGUGGGCAGCUCUUCAGUGGUGUUACCCGGAAGGCGUUACCCGGAAGGCGUUACCCAUGAGCAAGCUGUCUCCAUUCUAAAGCAGCAGAGAGGGGCCGUGGCCCUGCCUGCUGCUGCCGCCGUGAGCUACGGGUCCUGACUUUUUAACGAGAAUACAGCAGAAUUAUGCGGCUUCCGGUUGGGAUGAAAAGUUGCCUCGGCUCAAACCCAGUAUCAUCAUUGGCUCUGAUUCUGUUUACAGAAACUGGAGCUGUGGUCUCUGCUUCCUACUCACAUCCCCGGUUCCCACAGAGGCUUAACUGCAAACUCCUGUGGUUUCAUCUAAUGAGUAGAAACAAAGGUUUAGCUUGUCAUCUUAACUCGUGAUUUACUUAUGCUAAUUUGCCUCUUCAAAUAAACCAGAAAACAUUAGCAGUGUAAUUAAC